Molecule: long non-coding RNA, 712 nt
Filed under: Linum usitatissimum (flax)
Lineage: Eukaryota; Viridiplantae; Streptophyta; Magnoliopsida; Malpighiales; Linaceae
Description: long non-coding RNA (LUSI_LNC008013)
Source: RNAcentral
GUGAACAUCUAAAACCCUACUAAAAAGGCGAUUCUAUUAACUCCUCGUCGAAUUGUCUAAAAAUAAAAGAGUCCAUAAUGAUUAAUGAUUACACCACCGCCCGGAGCUACAAAUUAGCUUAAAUUAAAUAAAACUAUCGACAUAUCAUACCAUCAAUCAAUCAUUUUGUACAAAAACUAUAUCGAAAUAACUAGCUAUUACUAUCUUCGAUAAACACCCCAUUACAUAUCAUAACAAAGCAGUAGUAGUUAGUAGGUCUCUCUUCUUCCCUCCAUCCUUUCACUUCCCUUGCCGGCAAAGCAGAACCAUAAAUCCAAACCAUUUAGUUAUUCCUUCAUUUUCCAUUUCCUUUCCUACACCAGAAAAAAAAAACACAGAACUGUCAAAAAAGUUCUUCAUAAGAAUAAAAACAGAGCAACCCUCUGUUUCUUUCAUCCUCAGCCCCUCUCUUUCUCCUUUCUUCUUCUGGCUCUUUCAUUAGCUUCUACCAAAUGGGUUAUCUGUUCUUUGCCAAAAGAUUUGUUCUUUGAGUGGAAAAUUGAAUCAUUGUUACAGAGUUCUUACCAGAACAUCAAUGUCGUUCAAGUGGAGAACAGAGCAGCAGCAGUAUUCUCCCAGUAAGAGCUCUUCUUCUGUAUCUCAGAAAUGGACUGUUUUGCUCUGCCUGCUCUGCUUCUGCGCUGGAUUGCUCUUCACCGACAGGUAAUGAGCU